UACGGAGGGUGCGAGCGUUGUCCGGAAUCAUUGGGCGUAAAGGGCGCGUAGGUGGCCCGGUCAGUUCGUGGUGAAAGCGCGGGGCUCAACCCUGCGUCGGCCAUGAAUACUGCCGCGGCUGGAGCACUGUAGAGGCAGGCGGAAUUCCGGGUGUAGCGGUGGAAUGCGUAGAGAUCCGGAAGAACACCGGUGGCGAAGGCGGCCUGCUGGGCAGUUGCUGACACUGGAGGCGCGACAGCGUGGGGAGCAAACAGGG
Molecule: ribosomal RNA, 256 nt
Filed under: uncultured bacterium
Lineage: Bacteria
Description: partial 16S ribosomal RNA
Rfam family: Bacterial small subunit ribosomal RNA
Source: RNAcentral